This 331-nucleotide unclassified non-coding RNA is filed under the name soil metagenome. Its description in RNAcentral is "partial contains 5.8S ribosomal RNA, internal transcribed spacer 2, and large subunit ribosomal RNA". The stretch from base 1 to 120 matches the Rfam family "5.8S ribosomal RNA", at positions 35 to 154 of the family's 154-position model. The record is from RNAcentral.
GAUGAAGAACGCAGCGAAAUGCGAUAAGUAGUGUGAAUUGCAGAAUUCAGUGAAUCAUCGAAUCUUUGAACGCACAUUGCGCCCCCUGGUAUUCCGGGGGGCAUGCCUGUUCGGGCGUCAUUUCACCACUCAAGCCUCGCUUGGUAUUGGGCAAUGCGGUCCGCCGCGUGCCUCAAAUCGACCGGCUGGGUCUUCUGUCCCCUAAGCGUUGUGGAAACUAUUCGCUAAAGGGUGUUCGGGAGGCUACGCCGUAAAACAACCCCAUUUCUAAGGUUGACCUCGGAUCAGGUAGGGAUACCCGCUGAACUUAAGCAUAUCAAUAAGCGGAGGA